AUUGAACGCUGGCGGCAUGCCUUACACAUGCAAGUCGAACGGUAACAGGUCUUCGGAUGCUGACGAGUGGCGAACGGGUGAGUAAUACAUCGGAACGUGCCUAGUAGUGGGGGAUAACUACUCGAAAGAGUGGCUAAUACCGCCUGAGAUCUACGGAUGAAAGCAGGGGAUCGCAAGACCUUGUGCUACUAGAGCGGCCGAUGGCAGAUUAGGAAGUUGGUGGGAUAAAAGCUUACCAAGCCGACGAGCUGUAGCUGGUCAGAGAGGACGAUCAGCGAAACUGGGACAGAGACACGGCCCAGACACCGACGGGAGGCAGAAGUGGGGAAUUUUGGACAAUGGGAGAAAGCCUGAUACAGCAAUGCCGCGUGCAGGAUGAAGGCCUUCGGGUGGUAGACUGCUUUUGUACGGAACGAAAAGCCCCGGGUUAAUACCCUGGGGUCAUGACGGUACCGUAAGAAUAAGCACCGGCUAACUACGUGCCAGCAGCCGCGGUAA
Molecule: ribosomal RNA, 498 nt
Filed under: uncultured bacterium
Lineage: Bacteria
Description: partial 16S ribosomal RNA
Rfam family: Bacterial small subunit ribosomal RNA
Source: RNAcentral